RNAcentral lists this ribosomal RNA (261 nucleotides) under uncultured bacterium. RNAcentral's name for it is "partial 16S ribosomal RNA". It matches the Rfam family "Bacterial small subunit ribosomal RNA", at positions 57 to 305 of the family's 1533-position model. The record is from RNAcentral.
GCAAGUCGAACGAGAAAGUUCUUCGGAAAUGAGUAAAGUGGCGCACGGGUGAGUAACGCGUAGAUAACCUGUCCAAGUGAUCGGGAUAGCCCUUCGAAAGGGGGAUUAAUACCGGAUACGUUGUUUGUUUUUAAGGACGAUCAAGAAAGGUGGCCUCUAUUUAUAAGCUAUCGCACAUGGAGGGGUCUGCGUACCAUUAGCUAGUUGGUGAGGUAAGGGCGUACCAAGGCGACGAUGGGUAGCUGGUCUGAGAGGAUGAUC